GACGAACGCUGGCGGCGUGCUUAACACAUGCAAGUCGAACGGUGAACCAGAGCUUGCUCUGGGGAUCAGUGGCGAACGGGUGAGUAACACGUGGGCAACCUGCCCCAGACUCUGGGAUAACCCCGGGAAACCGGAGCUAAUACCGGAUAUGACCACUUCGGACAUCCGAUGGUGGUGGAAAGUUUUUCGGUCUGGGAUGGGCCCGCGGCCUAUCAGCUAGUUGGUGGGGUAAUGGCCUACCAAGGCGACGACGGGUAGCCGGCCUGAGAGGGCGACCGGCCACACUGGAACUGAGACACGGUCCAGACUCCUACGGGAGGCAGCAGUGGGGAAUAUUGCACAAUGGGCGAAAGCCUGAUGCAGCGACGCCGCGUGAGGGACGACGGCCUUCGGUUGGUAAACCGUACUUUCUAGCAGGACGAAGCGAAAGUAGACUGUACCUGCAAAGAAGACACCGGCUAACUACGUGCCAGCAGCCGCGGUAAACGUGUAGUCGU
Molecule: ribosomal RNA, 497 nt
Filed under: uncultured bacterium
Lineage: Bacteria
Description: bacterial SSU rRNA
Rfam family: Bacterial small subunit ribosomal RNA
Source: RNAcentral